UGCCGGAUAGCCAAGCAGGUAAGGCGGCGCACUGUUAAUGCGCUCAUGCGCUGGUUCGAAUCCAACCGGCAGCCG
This 75-nucleotide transfer RNA is filed under the name Burkholderia pseudomallei. RNAcentral's name for it is "tRNA-Asn". It matches the Rfam family "tRNA". Rfam says of the family: Transfer RNA (tRNA) molecules are approximately 80 nucleotides in length. Their secondary structure includes four short double-helical elements and three loops (D, anti-codon, and T loops). Further hydrogen bonds mediate the characteristic L-shaped molecular structure. tRNAs have two regions of fundamental functional importance: the anti-codon, which is responsible for specific mRNA codon recognition, and the 3' end, to which the tRNAs corresponding amino acid is attached (by aminoacyl-tRNA synthetases). tRNAs cope with the degeneracy of the genetic code in two manners: having more than one tRNA (with a specific anti-codon) for a particular amino acid; and 'wobble' base-pairing, i.e. permitting non-standard base-pairing at the 3rd anti-codon position. The record is from RNAcentral. Lineage: Bacteria; Pseudomonadati; Pseudomonadota; Betaproteobacteria; Burkholderiales; Burkholderiaceae.